RNAcentral lists this ribosomal RNA (440 nucleotides) under uncultured bacterium. Its description in RNAcentral is "partial 16S ribosomal RNA". It matches the Rfam family "Bacterial small subunit ribosomal RNA", at positions 338 to 795 of the family's 1533-position model. The record is from RNAcentral.
CCUACGGGAGGCAGCAGUGGGGAAUAUUGCACAAUGGGGGAAACCCUGAUGCAGCGACGCCGCGUGUGUGAAGAAGUAUUUCGGUAUGUAAAGCUCUUUCAGCCGGGAAGAAAAUGACGGUACCUGAUUCAGUAGCCACGGCUAACUACGUGCCAGCAGCCGCGGUAAUACGUAGGGGGCAAGCGUUAUCCGGAUUUACUGGGAGUAAAGGGAGCGUAGACGGCAGCACAAGUCUGGUGUGAAAUGCCGGGGCUUAACCCCGGAACUGCUUUGGAAACUGGUCAGCUAGAGUGCCGGAGAGGUGAGUAGAAUUCCUAGUGUAGCGGUGAAAUGCGUAGAUAUGAGGAGGAACACCGGUGGCGAAGGCGGCUUACUGGACUGUAACUGACGUUGAGGCUCGAAAGCGUGGGGAGCAAACAGGAUUAGAUACCCUUGUAGUC